GGUUAAGCGACUAAGCGUACACGGUGGAUGCCUAGGCAAUCAGAGGCGAUGAAGGACGUGCUAAUCUGCGAUAAGCGUCGGUAAGGUGAUAUGAACCGUUACAACCGACGAUUUCCGAAUGGGGAAACCCAGUGCAAUUCGUUGCACUAUCGUUUGAUGAAUACAUAGUCAAACGAAGCGAACCGGGGGAACUGAAACAUCUCAGUACCCCGAGGAAAAGAAAUCAACCGAGAUUCCCCUAGUAGCGGCGAGCGAACGGGGAGCAGCCCAGAGUCUUAAUCAGCAUUAGCAUCAGGAGAACGGUCUGGAAAGUCCGGCAGUAAAGGGUGAUAGCCCCGUAUCCGAAGGUGUUAGUGUUGUGAACUCGACGAGUAGGGCGGGACACGUGUUAUCCUGUCUGAAUAUGGGGGGACCAUCCUCCAAGGCUAAAUACUCCUGAUUGACCGAUAGUGAACCAGUACCGUGAGGGAAAGGCGAAAAGAACCCCGGCGAGGGGAGUGAAAUAGAACCUGAAACCGUGUACGUACAAGCAGUGGGAGCCUUGAUUUAUCAGGGUGACUGCGUACCUUUUGUAUAAUGGGUCAGCGACUUAUAUUCUGUAGCAAGGUUAACCGAAUAGGGGAGCCGUAGGGAAACCGAGUCUUAACUGGGCGAAUAAGUUGCAGGGUAUAGACCCGAAACCCGGUGAUCUAGCCAUGGGCAGGUUGAAGGUUGGGUAACACUAACUGGAGGACCGAACCGACUAAUGUUGAAAAAUUAGCGGAUGACUUGUGGCUGGGGGUGAAAGGCCAAUCAAACCGGGAGAUAGCUGGUUCUCCCCGAAAGCUAUUUAGGUAGCGCCUCGUGAACUCAUCUUCGGGGGUAGAGCACUGUUUCGACUAGGGGGUCAUCCCGACUUACCAACUCGAUGCAAACUACGAAUACCGAAGAAUGUUAUCACGGGAGACACACGGCGGGUGCUAACGUUCGUCGUGAAGAGGGAAACAACCCAGACCGCCAGCUAAGGUCCCAAAGUCAUAGUUAAGUGGGAAACGAAGUGGGAAGGCUCAGACAGCCAGGAUGUUGGCUUAGAAGCAGCCAUCAUUUAAAGAAAGCGUAAUAGCUCACUGGUCGAGUCGGCCUGCGCGGAAGAUGUAACGGGGCUAAACUAUGCACCGAAGCUGCGGCAGCGA
This 1172-nucleotide ribosomal RNA is filed under the name Providencia rettgeri. RNAcentral's name for it is "partial 23S ribosomal RNA". It matches the Rfam family "Bacterial large subunit ribosomal RNA", at positions 1 to 1211 of the family's 2925-position model. The record is from RNAcentral. Lineage: Bacteria; Pseudomonadati; Pseudomonadota; Gammaproteobacteria; Enterobacterales; Morganellaceae.